RNAcentral lists this ribosomal RNA (254 nucleotides) under uncultured bacterium. Its description in RNAcentral is "partial 16S ribosomal RNA". It matches the Rfam family "Bacterial small subunit ribosomal RNA", at positions 524 to 776 of the family's 1533-position model. The record is from RNAcentral.
UACGGAGGGUGCGAGCGUUGUCCGGAAUCACUGGGCGUAAAGGGCGCGUAGGCGGCUGGGGAAGUCGGCGGUGAAAGCCCGGAGCUCAACUCCGGGUCGGCCGUCGAGACUCCUCGGCUCGAGCUCACUAGAGGCAGAUGGAAUUCCGGGUGUAGCGGUGGAAUGCGUAGAGAUCCGGAAGAACACCGGUGGCGAAGGCGGUCUGCUGGGGUGAGGCUGACGCUGAUGCGCGACGAGCGUGGGGAGCAAACAGG